This 806-nucleotide ribosomal RNA is filed under the name uncultured Bacteroidota bacterium. RNAcentral's name for it is "bacterial SSU rRNA". It matches the Rfam family "Bacterial small subunit ribosomal RNA", at positions 1 to 799 of the family's 1533-position model. The record is from RNAcentral. Lineage: Bacteria; Pseudomonadati; Bacteroidota.
AGGAGAGUUUGAUCCUGGCUCAGGAUGAACGCUAGCUACAGGCUUAACACAUGCAAGUCGAGGGGCAGCAUGGUCUUAGCUUGCUAAGGCCGAUGGCGACCGGCGCACGGGUGAGUAACGCGUAUCCAACCUUCCCCUUAGUAGGGCAUAGCCCGGCGAAAGUCGGAUUAACACCCUAUGUUUUCCGUUGCGGGCAUCUAAUAUGGAACAAAGAUUUAUCGCUAAGGGAUGGGGAUGCGUCUGAUUAGGUAAGUAGGCGGGGUAACGGCCCACCUAGCCUUCGAUCAGUAGGGGUUCUGAGAGGAAGGUCCCCCACAUUGGAACUGAGACACGGUCCAAACUCCUACGGGAGGCAGCAGUGAGGAAUAUUGGUCAAUGGCCGAGAGGCUGAACCAGCCAAGUAGCGUGCAGGACGACGGCCCUAUGGGUUGUAAACUGCUUUUAUGCGGGGAUAAAGUCGCCCACGUGUGGGUGUUUGCAGGUACCGCAUGAAUAAGGACCGGCUAAUUCCGUGCCAGCAGCCGCGGUAAUACGGAAGGUCCGGGCGUUAUCCGGAUUUAUUGGGUUUAAAGGGAGCGCAGGCGGGAGAUUAAGCGUGACGUGAAAUGUAGGUGCUCAACAUCUGCACUGCGUCGCGAACUGGUUUUCUUGAGUGCAUUCGACGCUGGCGGAAUUCGUGGUGUAGCGGUGAAAUGCUUAGAUAUCACGAAGAACUCCGAUUGCGAAGGCAGCCGGCGAGACUGUAACUGACGCUAAAGCUCGAAAGUGCGGGUAUCGAACAGGAUUAGAUACCCUGGUAGUCCCCU